Molecule: ribosomal RNA, 817 nt
Filed under: uncultured beta proteobacterium
Lineage: Bacteria; Pseudomonadati; Pseudomonadota; Betaproteobacteria
Description: bacterial SSU rRNA
Rfam family: Bacterial small subunit ribosomal RNA
Source: RNAcentral
ACGGUAGAGGGGGCAACCCCUUGAGAGUGGCGAACGGGUGAGUAAUGUAUCGGAACGUGCCCAGUCGUGGGGGAUAACGUAGUGAAAAUUACGCUAAUACCGCAUACGAUCUAUGGAUGAAAGCGCGGGAUCGCAAGACCUCGCGCGAUUGGAGCGGCCGAUAUCAGAUUAGGUAGUUGGUAGGGUAAAGGCCUACCAAGCCAACGAUCUGUAGCUGGUCUGAGAGGACGACCAGCCACACUGGAACUGAGACACGGUCCAGACUCCCACGGGAGGCAGCAGUGGGGAAUUUUGGACAAUGGGCGAAAGCCUGAUCCAGCCAUUCCGCGUGCAGGAUGAAGGCCCUCGGGUUGUAAACUGCUUUUGUACAGAACGAAAAGGUUUCUAUUAAUACUAGGAGCUCAUGACGGUACUGUAAGAAUAAGCACCGGCUAACUACGUGCCAGCAGCCGCGGUAAUACGUAGGGUGCAAGCGUUAAUCGGAAUUACUGGGCGUAAAGCGUGCGCAGGCGGUUAUAUAAGUCAGAUGUGAAAUCCCCGGGCUCAACCUGGGAACUGCAUUUGAGACUGUAUAGCUAGAGUACGGUAGAGGGGGAUGGAAUUCCGCGUGUAGCAGUGAAAUGCGUAGAUAUGCGGAGGAACACCGAUGGCGAAGGCAAUCCCCUGGACCUGUACUGACGCUCAUGCACGAAAGCGUGGGGAGCAAACAGGAUUAGAUACCCUGGUAGUCCACGCCCUAAACGAUGUCAACUGGUUGUUGGGUCUUAACUGACUCAGUAACGAAGCUAACGCGUGAAGUUGACCGCCUGGGGAGUAC